AACGAACGCUGGCGGCAUGCCUAACACAUGCAAGUCGAACGAGACCUUCGGGUCUAGUGGCGCACGGGUGCGUAACGCGUGGGAACCUGCCCUUAGGUUCGGAAUAACUCCCCGAAAGGGGUGCUAAUACCGGAUAAUGUCUUCGGACCAAAGAUUUAUCGCCUUUGGAUGGGCCCGCGUUGGAUUAGCUAGUUGGUAGGGUAAAAGCCUACCAAGGCGACGAUCCAUAGCUGGUCGGAGAGGAUGAUCAGCCACACUGGGACUGAGACACGGCCCAGACUCCUACGGGAAGGAGCAGUGGGGAAUAUUGGACAAUGGGCGAAAGCCUGAUACAGCAAUGCCGCGUGAGUGAUGAAGGCCUUAGGGUUGUAAAGCUCUUUUACCCGGGAUGAUAAUGACAGUACCGGGAGAAUAAGCUCCGGCUAACUCCGUG
Molecule: ribosomal RNA, 433 nt
Filed under: uncultured bacterium
Lineage: Bacteria
Description: partial 16S ribosomal RNA
Rfam family: Bacterial small subunit ribosomal RNA
Source: RNAcentral